RNAcentral lists this ribosomal RNA (500 nucleotides) under uncultured bacterium. RNAcentral describes it as "bacterial SSU rRNA". It matches the Rfam family "Bacterial small subunit ribosomal RNA", at positions 28 to 526 of the family's 1533-position model. The record is from RNAcentral.
GACGAACGCUGGCGGCGUGCCUAACACAUGCAAGUCGAACGAAGCCUUGAUUGGAACACUUCGGUGGGAAAAGAGAGUGACUGAGUGGCGGACGGGUGAGUAACGCGUGAGCAACCUGCCCUUCAGCGUGGAAUAGCGUCUGGAAACGGACGGUAAUACCGCAUGACAUAUUGAUGCCGCAUGGUAUUGAUAUCAAAGAUUUAUCACUGAAGGAUGGGCUCGCGUUGGAUUAGAUAGUUGGUGGGGUAACGGCCUACCAAGUCAACGAUCCAUAGCCGGACUGAGAGGUUGAACGGCCACAUUGGGACUGAGACACGGCCCAGACUCCUACGGGAGGCAGCAGUGGGGAAUAUUGCACAAUGGGCGAAAGCCUGAUGCAGCAACGCCGCGUGAAGGAAGACGGUUUUCGGAUUGUAAACUUCUGUUCUUGGUGAAGAAGCAAGUGACGGUAGCCAAGGAGCAAGCCACGGCUAACUACGUGCCAGCAGCCGCAGUAAUAC